UGGGGUCACGACCGGAAGUUUGAGAAAUCAAUGUUCAUUCCAUCAGGUCGGAGGCUACCCUAACAGAAUAUAAGAUGUUGUUCCUCCAACCUAAGUGUGGCCCAUUGGGUCAAAAGUGGGUAGGUAUGUGAUGAAUGUGGCAUGUGUUUUAUUUGUACUGAUACUGACCUCUGGCACAUUCCCCACUUCCUAUCAUUACCAACUCUAAUUCUUGUUGUCCUACUUCCUCCUUAAAACUUAACUUGCUCAUCCAAUUUUAAGAUAUUUUUAAUUCAUCUUCAUAUUCCUUUUCAGAUUUGAUAACAUUAUUUUUCCUCUGAAAAUGUGCCUGUGAAGCACUUUAGAACAUUUUCUUUUGUUAUAAGUGAUCUAUUACACAUGAAGUACACAUUGCUGUUGAACUAAAUAUUUCUAGUACAUAAUUAGCUGAUCUCUGCUCUGAUGAAAAGGAAAUGCUUGGCUCGAAAAUAAAUUGUAUGAAUUGCUCAAACUGCCAAGCCGCAAAAGAAAAAGUUGCAACAAUAUUUGGAAAUCAUUUGCGUUUCACAGCAGUUAUAAGGACACUACUUCACAACUUAAAACAAGUUAUUUUCGGUUAGUCACUGUGGUAAAUGUAUUAAUCGUUUCAAAAUGCUGAAGUUUGUUGUAUGCAGUGCAACAUGUGCAAAACAUUGCUCGGGAUAACUAAAAACCAAAAUUACAAAAUAAUUAGCCUUGGUGGUUGAGGCCAACCCUAGUCUAUAAAACACCAAUGUCAAGAGAAAAACAACUGGGAAGUAUUAACUUGGGCAUUAUCAUCCAUUCAGAUGACUCGUUUGAGAUUCAUCAUGAUUUGUUUCCUCAUAAUCUCAGGGUUCAUCUUUUCUGUGGGAAAUCAUUUUAAAAUGUCAGUAGAAUGAGGCUGGCUUUUGGACACUGACACCACCGCCCCCCCCCCCGUGAACUGGUGCUGCUAACGAGAGAGAGAUGAAGAACAGAGGGGGAGGGAGAGUCAUGCAACAUAGAUGGAAGAGAAAAACACACGUAACUCAGUAUUUUGUCAUCCUCACUGCUCAUUUACUUUUGCUCCAAGCCCUUUGCUUGCUUGUGUGGAUCUCGGCUGACACAGCAGAGUGAUGCCAGGUGCCUGCUGAGACAGGAAGGAGUGGCCAGUUUGAUGGACGUGGACAUGAUCAGUUGAUGGAUGGCUGAUACCCUGUCAGGGGAGAUAAAAGACAGGUCUGCUGAGACAUCGACAGACACGCCACGAGACACUGCAAGAGUGUUGUGCACCCACAGGAAGGUGGGGCUUGGAGGACCGAAUCAGGAUAUCGGUCACAAUGCUCACAGUGUGAUGGCAGGACCGGUGGGGGCUUGUGUGUGUGUCAACUCAUGCCAGAGUGACGAGUCCACCAUGGAAGAACGGUCUAGCUGAGAACGGAGGUGUCCUAACUGAAUGACCACAUCAGUACAACGGAACAAGAAGACAACGGAAGGUUUGCCUGCUGCAGCUGCUCCCAUCUCGCUCUCUCUCUCUCCAACGUCACGACAGCAACUACCUCAACCCAAACUGAACUGAACUGAACUCUGCAUUAUCUUAAGACUAUUCAUUUAUCCCUAGACUUUGGAAGAGUUUGUUUUUUGAUUCCUUUUACCACACUUCUGUAUACACACACACACACACACACACAUAUAUAUAUAUUUGCUAACCUGUAAUAUAUACACAUUUGCAUUUUAUUUUUGUACUGUAUUACUUAGUUUGCUAAUAAACUUUAUUAGUUACUAGUAA
Hypanus sabinus (Atlantic stingray) is the source of this 1768-nucleotide long non-coding RNA. RefSeq lists it as uncharacterized. The record is from RefSeq and is a predicted model, not a curated record. The transcript is spliced from 3 exons. NCBI's taxonomy places the organism in Eukaryota, Metazoa, Chordata, Chondrichthyes, Myliobatiformes, Dasyatidae.